Molecule: ribosomal RNA, 194 nt
Filed under: uncultured bacterium
Lineage: Bacteria
Description: partial 16S ribosomal RNA
Rfam family: Bacterial small subunit ribosomal RNA
Source: RNAcentral
UGGAGUCUGCAACCCGACUCCACGAAGUUGGAUUCGCUAGUAAUCGCGCAUCAGCCAUGGCGCGGUGAAUACGUUCCCGGGCCUUGUACACACCGCCCGUCAAGCCAUGGGAGCCGGGGGCGCCUGAAGUCCGGGACCGCGAGGACCGGCCUAGGGCGAAACUGGUAACUGGGGCUAAGUCGUAACAAGGUAGC